This is a non-coding RNA of Arthromyces matolae, 78 nucleotides long. NCBI's taxonomy places the organism in Eukaryota, Fungi, Basidiomycota, Agaricomycetes, Agaricales, Lyophyllaceae. The record is from the annotation of a GenBank genome assembly.
UCCCCCUUAGCUCAGUGGUAGAGCGCGUCACUAGUAUUGGCUAUGACGAGGUCAGUCGUUCAAGUCGGCUAGGGGGAA